GGCGUGCUUAACACAUGCAAGUCGAACGAGAAAGCUUUAGCUUGCUAGAGCGAGUAAAGUGGCGCACGGGUGAGUAACGCGUGGGUAAUCUGCCCUUGAAUUUGGGAUAACACUUCGAAAGGGGUGCUAAUACCGGAUAAUAUCUUUUGUAUUGCGGUACGAAAGAUCAAAGAUAGCCUCUUCAUGAAAGCUAUUGUUUGGGGAUGAGCCCGCGUACCAUUAGCUUGUUGGUGGGGUAAUGGCCUACCAAGGCGACGAUGGUUAGCUGGUCUGAGAGGAUGAUCAGCCACACUGGAACUGGAACACGGUCCAGACUCCUACGGGAGGCAGCAGUGAGGAAUUUUGCGCAAUGGGCGAAAGCCUGACGCAGCAACGCCGCGUGAGUGAUGAAGGAUUUCGGUUCGUAAAGCUCUGUCAAGUGGGAAGAAGUUAUCAUAAGUUAAUAGCUUAUGGUAUUGACGGUACCACUGAAGGAAGCACCGGCUAACUCCGUG
This 494-nucleotide ribosomal RNA is filed under the name uncultured bacterium. RNAcentral describes it as "bacterial SSU rRNA". It matches the Rfam family "Bacterial small subunit ribosomal RNA", at positions 41 to 507 of the family's 1533-position model. The record is from RNAcentral.